UCGCUCCCCUCCCCUAGAGGGGCCCGGGGCAGAGGAGCUGCAGUCCAGUGGGGGAGCGAGCAGCAAUGUCAGCUGCUCCAUCUCUGCAUCCAGCAGAUGGAGCAUUUGCUCCAGGUGUGGCAGGGCAGAACUGGCCGAAAAAACAUCACAGCCGGAACCUGCAGUGUGUGGAGCUCAGUGUGGGGUGCCCAGAAUUGGACACAGGACUCCAGCUCAGCUAACCGCAGUGCAGAGCAGAGCGAGACAACGACCUCCUACAACACUCACGUUAAUACACCCCAGAAUACCAGCCUUUUCCCCAGCUGCAUCAAUGUGUGACAGCCAGACAGCGUCUGAGGUAUGGAGUGUCUCUCACACUGGAGAUGUGGACUACGCGACCCUCCCUGCCAAUGCAACGGACCAGGGAAGAACCUGACCAGAUUCAGACACGCAGACCCCACAGCUUCUAAUAGCUGAGGGCCCAGAAAUCCCUUACCCAGCGAGGUCACCAUCUCAUAGUUCUCCUGCAUGACGUCCCUGUAGACAGCUCUUUGCCUGGGGUCCAGCAGAGCCCCCUGUCCCUCGGUGAAAUACACAGCCACCUCCUCGAAGGUCACCGGCAUCUGAAACAUCAGUUCCCCCACUCAGCGCCUGCUGCCCCAGCUACAAUCCCACUAGUCACAGGGGAGGAGGCCCAGAGAAGCAGAAUCCCACCCGCACCCUGCUCAGAGCAGCCAGGAGGCUUCAGGGGGUGGGGAGAAGGUGAGAGCUCCUUGUUCCCCCAGCAGAUGGGGGCAGGGCAGGGUCUUCUCAUUUACCACACGCCUGCCAGCCACAGGCUGAUGCAGGAAGCAGAGCUCUGAGCCGGGGACAGGGACAGGAAUCCCAACAGCUUCCCUUCGUAUUUCACAGCAGUCUGUGGCCAGUGGGGUGAGGCUGCAGCACUGGGAGUCUGGUCAGUUUUCCCAGCCCUGCCCAGGGGGGUGUUUCCUGUAUCAGAAAUGGGGGAAUGUCUCCCCCUUCCCCCACCCGCCAAUGGGUCGGUUCAGAAAAAUCAGGCUUCAAGUUGAACCUGUCCCAGCAGGUUUAUCACACCCUGUCCCAUCCCUGCCUCCCCCUGUGUGUUUCCUGCCCCUCCCCGCUAGCAAAUCCCCCCUGCACCUCCAUGAAAAUCCCUUACCUGAGCUGGCUCCAUCACAGCCAUUUCCCUUCCCUGUCCCCUGGAAGAUGGGACGAUCUGGAGUGAAACGUGGAUGUGAUUCCUCAGCCUGUCAGGGCGAGAGGGGCGAUGCGGGAGGUUUCAGAAGGGGAUUGAAUCCAUUUCACACCCCGAUUCCCCCCAGGCUCUCUCCCUGCAGACAGACACUCUGCUCUCUGCCAUGCUGGGAAAACCCUCAGUCACUUUAUUCCAACACAGACCCGGCCCCUCCCAGCACUGAAUCCCUGAGACACUUUUAAACCCUCCCGGGUUUAAAAGACAAAUACUAGAAAAGCAGAAUGAAAGGAACCACUUUGGGGGAUUUCCCCUGACAUUGGCCCGGAGGGCAGGGCGCUGCUGGGACCGGCUUUUCCUCUGUCAGCUCCUCCCCUUGUUCCCAGGAGAGUCAGUCGGCCCAGGGGGAUGCAGGGAAUGGAUCCAGGCAGGGCUGGGAACCUCCCUCCCCACUUCUUGCUCCUGCUGCCCCUUUCGGUCUCGCUCCUCCCCUUCCUGUCUCUGUCCCUCUCCCUUCUGCCUGGGAGAACUGGUGCCUGUCCUGUUCCCAUGGGCACUUGCUCUCCAGCGUGAGCCUGGCUGUGUCACUGGGGGCAACAACUCUGGGAGCCGCAGACACGGGGGAGCCCCUCCCCCCCCCCCGGUAUAAACUCACCAGCUGCAGGUCCCUGAAAGGGGCCCUUUGUGCAGAGUCACUUUCCUGCUCGGCCCAGGCCCUUUCCCCUGGGUCUCUCCCAGUCACCUACAGGCUCUGGCUCAGCGGUUGGUGUGGGCAGAGCCCGGGGCUGCCCCAGGGGACUAGUUCCAGCCACUUGAGAAAGUGCUCACCCAGACUGGGCCCAGCAGGGGCUUUAAUGAAGGUCUGUCCCUGGCACAGACCCCACUGGGGAGCAGCAGUCUCACAGUCUGGGCUCUCAGGUAGAGGAGGCAGCAGCAGCUGACCCAGGCAGCUCAAUUCAAGGGCUCUAAUAUCAGGAACAGAGAGAGACACGCACCAGCCUCCUCCUCUCCCUGAGCAAUAGCCAGAGCCCUCUGGUGGCAGCAGCUAAUGACUGAGCCUCCCUGUGCUGCCCCAGGGACAGGCAGGCAAAAGCUGAUCCCAGUGGCCCAUCCGCACGCACCCCCUGCCAGAGCCAGCAGUGACUCCGGUCUGACACCUGAAUCCUGCCCAGAAAUCAGAGCAGGGCCCUGGGCAGCCCCAAACACUCAGGAGACAGACCCCAAAACCAUGAGUGUGUCUGAAAAUAAUAAAUUAGGAGCAGGGUGUUGUGACAAAGUGGGAAUGUUCUUAAUGUUUUCUCUGAAUACUGUGCGGGUGCCUCAGUUUCCCCUAUGCAUUUCUUAAGUAUCUAGGUGGUGGCAUAAGGGUGUGUGAUUAUUGCAGAGCCUUAGAGGGCCAGUGUGAUGCUGUCUGCAUAGAGAAUGGCUGACACCAUGUCUCCUGGCAACUGAUGGCCUGGCCCCUCCCCUGCAAAGGUGCCAACUGAAACUGUUGGGAGAACAAAGAGAUCAGGUGGCCUCCUAGCCAGGAAAGAGACAAAGGCCAGAGGAGGGGCUGGAGAGUUUCAGUUUGGAGCUGGCUGGGGAAAUGGAGGGAGGCCAGAUGGGGCUCUGGGCUCCCUGGCCCCAAGAUGGACCUGACUUAGGGAUCCUGUUCUCUGUACCUACAAGCUCUGUUUUAGACCGUGUUCCUGUUGUCUAAUAAACCUUCUGUUCUACUGGC
Long non-coding RNA from Malaclemys terrapin pileata, 2915 nucleotides. RefSeq lists it as uncharacterized. The record is from RefSeq and is a predicted model, not a curated record. NCBI's taxonomy places the organism in Eukaryota, Metazoa, Chordata, Testudines, Emydidae. The transcript has 4 exons.